AGAGUUUGAUCAUGGCUCAGAUUGAACGCUGGCGGCAGGCCUAACACAUGCAAGUCGAGCGGUAGCACAGAGAGCUUGCUCUCGGGUGACGAGCGGCGGACGGGUGAGUAAUGUCUGGGAAACUGCCUGAUGGAGGGGGAUAACUACUGGAAACGGUAGCUAAUACCGCAUAAUGUCGCAAGACCAAAGAGGGGGACCUUCGGGCCUCUUGCCAUCAGAUGUGCCCAGAUGGGAUUAGCUAGUAGGUGGGGUAACGGCUCACCUAGGCGACGAUCCCUAGCUGGUCUGAGAGGAUGACCAGCCACACUGGAACUGAGACACGGUCCAGACUCCUACGGGAGGCAGCAGUGGGGAAUAUUGCACAAUGGGCGCAAGCCUGAUGCAGCCAUGCCGCGUGUAUGAAGAAGGCCUUCGGGUUGUAAAGUACUUUCAGCGGGGAGGAAGGUGUUGAGGUUAAUAACCUCAGCAAUUGACGUUACCCGCAGAAGAAGCACCGGCUAACUCCGUGCCAGCAGCCGCGGUAAUACGGAGGGUGCAAGCGUUAAUCGGAAUUACUGGGCGUAAAGCGCACGCAGGCGGUCUGUCAAGUCGGAUGUGAAAUCCCCGGGCUCAACCUGGGAACUGCAUUCGAAACUGGCAGGCUAGAGUCUUGUAGAGGGGGGUAGAAUUCCAGGUGUAGCGGUGAAAUGCGUAGAGAUCUGGAGGAAUACCGGUGGCGAAGGCGGCCCCCUGGACAAAGACUGACGCUCAGGUGCGAAAGCGUGGGGAGCAAACAGGAUUAGAUACCCUGGUAGUCCACGCCGUAAACGAUGUCGACUUGGAGGUUGUGCCCUUGAGGCGUGGCUUCCGGAGCUAACGCGUUAAGUCGACCGCCUGGGGAGUACGGCCGCAAGGUUAAAACUCAAAUGAAUUGACGGGGGCCCGCACAAGCGGUGGAGCAUGUGGUUUAAUUCGAUGCAACGCGAAGAACCUUACCUACUCUUGACAUCCAGAGAACUUUCCAGAGAUGGAUUGGUGCCUUCGGGAACUCUGAGACAGGUGCUGCAUGGCUGUCGUCAGCUCGUGUUGUGAAAUGUUGGGUUAAGUCCCGCAACGAGCGCAACCCUUAUCCUUUGUUGCCAGCGGUUCGGCCGGGAACUCAAAGGAGACUGCCAGUGAUAAACUGGAGGAAGGUGGGGAUGACGUCAAGUCAUCAUGGCCCUUACGAGUAGGGCUACACACGUGCUACAAUGGCGCAUACAAAGAGAAGCGACCUCGCGAGAGCAAGCGGACCUCAUAAAGUGCGUCGUAGUCCGGAUUGGAGUCUGCAACUCGACUCCAUGAAGUCGGAAUCGCUAGUAAUCGUAGAUCAGAAUGCUACGGUGAAUACGUUCCCGGGCCUUGUACACACCGCCCGUCACACCAUGGGAGUGGGUUGCAAAAGAAGUAGGUAGCUUAACCUUCGGGAGGGCGCUUACCACUUUGUGAUUCAUGACUGGGGUGAAGUCGUAACAAGGUAACCGUAGGGGAACCUGCGGUUGGAUCACCU
RNAcentral lists this ribosomal RNA (1528 nucleotides) under Enterobacter sp. MGH 24. Its description in RNAcentral is "bacterial SSU rRNA". It matches the Rfam family "Bacterial small subunit ribosomal RNA". The record is from RNAcentral. Lineage: Bacteria; Pseudomonadati; Pseudomonadota; Gammaproteobacteria; Enterobacterales; Enterobacteriaceae.